GCCCGCCUAGCUCAAUCGGAUAGAGCGUCAGACUCUUACACACAGGCGAGGCAUCUGAAGGCUGCGAGUUCGACCCUCGCGGUGGGCU
This is a non-coding RNA of Abortiporus biennis, 88 nucleotides long. The record is from the annotation of a GenBank genome assembly. Lineage: Eukaryota; Fungi; Basidiomycota; Agaricomycetes; Polyporales; Podoscyphaceae.